UACCUGCAGCUCGAGUGGUAACCGUUAUUAUUGGGCCUAAAGCGUCCGUAGCCGGUUUGGUAAAUAUCUGGGUAAAUCGUGAGGCUUAACUUCACGAAUUUCGGAUAGACUGCCAGACUUGGGAUCGGGAGAGGUCAGAGGUACUCCAGGGGUAGCGGUGAAAUGUUGUAAUCCUUGGAGGACCACCGGUAGCGAAGGCGUCUGACUAGAACGAGUCCGACGGUGAGGGACGAAGCCCUGGGGCGCAAACCGGAUUAGAUACCCGGGUAGUCCAGGGUGUAAACGAUGUGGGCUUUGUAUUGGAGGUCCCACGUGGGCGUCCAGUGCAGAAGAGAAGUUGUUAAGCCCACCGCCCGGGAAGUACGGUCGCAAGGCUGAAACUUAAAGGAAUUGGCGGGGGAGCACAGCAACGGGAGGAGCGUGCGGUUU
RNAcentral lists this ribosomal RNA (429 nucleotides) under uncultured archaeon. RNAcentral describes it as "bacterial SSU rRNA". It matches the Rfam family "Archaeal small subunit ribosomal RNA", at positions 474 to 903 of the family's 1478-position model. The record is from RNAcentral.